Molecule: ribosomal RNA, 460 nt
Filed under: uncultured bacterium
Lineage: Bacteria
Description: partial 16S ribosomal RNA
Rfam family: Bacterial small subunit ribosomal RNA
Source: RNAcentral
CCUACGGGAGGCAGCAGUGAGGAAUAUUGGUCAAUGGGAGAGAGCCUGAACCAGCCAAGCCGCGUGAGGGAUGACGGCCCUAUGGGUUGUAAACUUCUUUUGUAGGGGAACAAAACCCGGGUCGUGUUCCGCAGUGCGUGUACCCUACGAACAAGGAUCGGCUAACUCCGUGCCAGCAGCCGCGGUAAUACGGAAGGUCCGGGCGUUAUCCGGAUUUAUUGGGUUUAAAGGGAGCGUAGGUGGGCUGUUAAGUCAGUUGUGAAAGUCCGCGGCUCAACCGUGGAAUUGCAGUUGAAACUGGCAGACUUGAGUGCAGUAGAGGAUAGCGGAAUUCAUGGUGUAGCGGUGAAAUGCUUAGAUAUCAUGAAGAACUCCGGUUGCGAAGGCAAGUAUCUGGAAUACAACUGACGCUGAGGCGCGAAAGUGUGGGUAUCAAACAGGAUUAGAUACCCUUGUAGUC